This is a long non-coding RNA of Cyprinus carpio carpio, 658 nucleotides long. The record is from Ensembl. NCBI's taxonomy places the organism in Eukaryota, Metazoa, Chordata, Actinopteri, Cypriniformes, Cyprinidae.
GUUGUACUUUCUGUUGUUGUCUCAGUUGUGGUGCUUUCAGUUGUUAUUGAAAUUUCUGCUGUUGUACUUUCUAAAGUUGUGGUACCGGUGGUGGUGCUUUGUGUUGUUGUAGAUUCCAUUGUGGUGCUGUCUGUUGUUAUUGUUGUCUCUGCUGUUGUACUUUCUGGUGUUGUGGUACCGGAGGUUGUACUUUCUGUUGUGGUGCCUGUGGUUGUACUUUCUGUUGUUGUCUCAAUUGUGGUGCUUUCAGUUGUUGUUGAAGUUUCUGCUGUUGUACUUUCUGGUGUUGUGAUUCCGGAGGUUGUACUUUCUGUUGUUGUCUCAGCUGUGGUGCUUUCAGUUGUUGUUGAAGUUUCUGCUGUUGUACUUUCUAAAGUUGUGGUACCAAUGGUGGUGCUUUCUGUUGUUGUAGUAUCGAUUGUGGUGCUGUCUGUUGUUAUUGUUGUCUCUGCUGUUGUAGUUUCUGGUGUUGUGGCAACGGAGGUUGUACUUUCUGUUGUUGUCUCAGUUGUGGUGCUUUCAGUUGUUGUUGAAGUUUCUGCUGUUGUACUUUCUAAAGUUGUGGUACCGAUGGUUGUACUUUCUGUUGUUGUAGUAUCGAUUGUGGAGCUGUCUGUUGUCAUUGUUGUCUCUGCUGUUGUACUUUCUGGUGUUGUGG